GACGUAGGUGGCGAACGUUAUCCGGAAUCAUUGGGCGUAAAGGGUGCGUAGAUGGCAUGAUAAGUUAUUAGUGGGAAAUCGAGGCUCAACCUCGUGGAAGCUAGUAAUACUGUUUUGCUUGAGUACAGAAGAGGUUAACGGAACUCCAUGUGGAGCGGUAAAAUGCGUAGAUAUAUGGAAGAACACCAAUAACGGCGAAGGCAGUUAACUAUUCUGUUACUGACAUUGAGGCACGAAAGCGUGGGAGCAAACGGG
Molecule: ribosomal RNA, 255 nt
Filed under: uncultured bacterium
Lineage: Bacteria
Description: partial 16S ribosomal RNA
Rfam family: Bacterial small subunit ribosomal RNA
Source: RNAcentral